RNAcentral lists this non-coding RNA (23 nucleotides) under Arabidopsis thaliana (thale cress). Lineage: Eukaryota; Viridiplantae; Streptophyta; Magnoliopsida; Brassicales; Brassicaceae. The record is from RNAcentral.
ACAGAACAAAAGACCGAAAGUAC